CAGCAGCCGCGGUAAUACGUAGGGCGCGAGCGUUAAUCGGAAUUGCUGGGCGUAAAGCGUGCGCAGGCGGUUUUGUAAGACAGGCGUGAAAUCCCCGGGCUCAACCUGGGAAUGGCGCUUGUGACUGCAAAGCUAGAGUGCGGCAGAGGGGGAUGGAAUUCCGCGUGUAGCAGUGAAGUGCGUAGAUAUGCGGAGGAACACCGAUGGCGAAGGCAAUCCCCUGGGCCUGCACUGACGCUCAUGCACGAAAGCGUGGGGAGCAAACAGGAUUAGAUACCCCCGUAGUCCCUGUCUCUUAUAC
RNAcentral lists this ribosomal RNA (301 nucleotides) under uncultured bacterium. Its description in RNAcentral is "partial 16S ribosomal RNA". It matches the Rfam family "Bacterial small subunit ribosomal RNA", at positions 509 to 807 of the family's 1533-position model. The record is from RNAcentral.